GGAAGAGAGAGUCCCGGACCGAGCCGGACCUCGGCCCGCGGGGCGUUAGCAAACGGCCAUGAGGAGAGAGAGUCCGGACCGAGCCGGACCUCGGCCCACAGAAAGUUAGCAAACGGCCAUGAGGAGAGAGUGUCCGGACCGAGCCGGACCUCGGCCCGCGGGGCGUUAGCAAACGGCCAUGAGGAGAGAGAGUCCGGACCGAGCCGGACCUCGGCCCGCGGGGCGUUAGCAAACGGCCAUGAGGAGAGAGAGUCCGGACCGAGCCGGACCUCGGCCCACAGAAAGUUAGCAAACGGCCAUGAGGAGAGAGAGUCCGGACCGAGCCGGACCUCGGCCCGCGGGGCGUUAGCAAACGGCCAUGAGGAGAGAGAGUCCGGACCGAGCCGGACCUCGGCCCACAGAAAGUUAGCAAACGGCCAUGAGGAGAGAGUGUCCGGACCGAGCCGGACCUCGGCCCGCGGGGCGUUAGCAAACGGCCAUGAGGAGAGAGAGUCCGGACCGAGCCGGACCUCGGCCCACAGAAAGUUAGCAAACGGCCAUGAGGAGAGAGUGUCCGGACCGAGCCGGACCUCGGCCCGCGGGGCGUUAGCAAACGGCCAUGAGGAGAGAGAGUCCGGACCGAGCCGGACCUCGGCCCACAGAAAGUUAGCAAACGGCCAUGAGGAGAGAGGCAGGAUAGCUUCUGCUUCAACAACUAAAAAAGUUGGAAACCACAGAAGAGACAGACAAGACAGAACCAGAACCACACCCUGGAAUUAUCCCCCUCACACCCUCCUCCCUCCUCCCAUGCGGAGGAUUCCCCCUAACACCUUCCUCCCUCCUGCCUCCUCCCAUGCGAUGACUCCCCCUCACACCUUCCUCCCUCCUCCCUCCUCCCAUGCGGAGGACUCCCCCUCACACCUUCCUCCCUCCUCCCUCCUCCCAUGCGAUGACUCCCCCUCACACACUCCUCCCUCCUCCCUCUUCCCAUGCGGAGGACUCCCCCUCACACCUUCCUCCCUCACACCCUCCUCCCAUGCGGAGGACUCCCCCUCACACCUUCCUCCCUCCUCCCUCCUCCCAUGCGGAGGACUCCCCCUCACACCUUCCUCCCUCACACCCUCCUCCCUCCUCCCAUGCGGAGGACUCCCCCUCACACCUUCCUCCCUCCUCCCUCCUCCCAUGCGGAGGACUCCCCCUCACACCUUCCUCCCUCACACCCUCCUCCCUCCUCCCAUGCGGAGGACUCCCCCUCACACCUUCCUCCCUCCUCCCUCCUCCCAUGCGGAGGACUCCCCCUCACACCUUCCUCCCUCCUCCCUCCUCCCAUGCGGAGGACUCCCCCUCACACCCUCCUCCCUCCUCCCUCUUCCCAUGCGGAGGACUCCCCCUCACACCUUCCUCCCUCACACCCUCCUCCCUCCUCCCAUGCGAUGA
This 1416-nucleotide long non-coding RNA is filed under the name Betta splendens (Siamese fighting fish). RNAcentral's name for it is "lncRNA (ENSBSLG00000012470.1)". Lineage: Eukaryota; Metazoa; Chordata; Actinopteri; Anabantiformes; Osphronemidae. The record is from RNAcentral.